Molecule: ribosomal RNA, 614 nt
Filed under: uncultured fungus
Lineage: Eukaryota; Fungi
Description: eukaryotic LSU rRNA
Rfam family: 5.8S ribosomal RNA (bases 212-365)
Source: RNAcentral
CAUUAAUGAAUUGUUGAUGGGGUUUGAUGCUGGCAGCCAGCUUUUGGAUGCAUGUGCUUGCCCUGACAAUCAUCUUCCAAACACCUGUGCACAUUUUUGAGGGAAUCCAGUUGAUUGCCGCUUUUGGUGAUUUUCUUGCACUCCCUUGAUUCAUUAUACGCUUUUAUCAAUGCUGAACGUGCUUUGUGCCGCAAGGCCUUUAAUAUAAUACAACUUUUAACAGCGGAUCUCUUGGCUCUCGCAUCGAUGAAAAACGCAUCGAAAUGCGAUAAGUAAUGUGAAUUGCAAAAUUCAGUGAAUCAUCGAAUCUUUGAACGCACCUUGCGCUCCCUGGUAUUCCGAGGAGCACGCCUGUUCGAGUGUCGCGAAAUUUCUCAAGCUUUGGGGGGAUGGCUUUGUCUUUGUCCCCCUUAGCCUUGGUUGUUGGGCUUUGCCGUAUCCUUCAUUUUGGGACGGCUGGUCUUAAAAGCAUUAACUGAUCCUCGUGUGGCACUGGUUCUACUCACCGUGAUAAUAGUCUGAUCGCUGAUGACAUCUUUUGGGAUGGCCAGUUCUCAUUUGGGUUGCUUCUAAACCUGGUUUUACAGAUUCUUCAAUCUGUGUUCCAUUUUAUC